RNAcentral lists this long non-coding RNA (392 nucleotides) under Mytilus galloprovincialis (Mediterranean mussel). The record is from RNAcentral. Lineage: Eukaryota; Metazoa; Mollusca; Bivalvia; Mytilida; Mytilidae.
GUCCGAUUCAUCUGAAAAUUUCAGGGAAGAUAGAACUUGACCUGAUAAAAACAAAUAUACCCUGUGUCAGAUUUGCUCUUAAUGCUUUGGUUUUUAAGUCAUAAACCAAAAACUGCAUUUUACCCCUAUGUUCUAUUUUUAGCCAUGGCGGCCAUCUUGGUUGGAAGGCCAAGUCACCGGACACAAUUUUUAAACUAGAUACCCCAAAGAUGAUUGUGGCCAAGUUUGGAUUAAUUUGGUCCAGUAGUUUCAGAGGAGAAGACUUUUGUAAAAGAUUACUAAGAUUUACGAAACAUGGAUUAAAAAUUGACGAUAAAGGGCAAUAACUCCUAAAGGGGUCAACUGACCUUUUCGGUCAUGUUGACUUAUUUGUAAAUCUUACUUUGCUGAAC